UUUUUUUUUUUUUUUCUUUUUUGAGACAGAGUCUCGCUCUGUUGCCCAGGCUAGAGUGCAGUGGCCGGAUCUCAGCUCAUUGCAAGCUCCGCCUCCUGGGUUCAUGCCAUUCUCCUGCCUCAGCCUCCUGGGCAGCUGGGAUUACAGGCGCCCACCACACACCUGGCUAAUUUUUUGUACUUUUAGUAGAGACGGGGUUUCACCGUGUUAGCCAGGAUGGUCUCAAUCUCCUGACCUUGUGAUCUGCCCGCCUCAGCCUCCCAAAGUGCUGGGAUUACAGGCGUGAGCACCGCGCCCGGCCUAUUCCUUAACUUCCUUAAUAAAUGUGCUUUCACUUUGCCCUGAGGACUUGCCCUGAAUUCUUUCUUGCGAGAAAUUUAAUAAUCCUCUCUUAGGGUCUGGCUCGGGACCCCUGUCCUGUAACACUUAUAGGUAUUAAACAAGAAAAAGACCCAAUCUCAAAUACACUGGGUUAAACCUCUUUCUUUAAUGAAGAACUUCUUAGAAACUUUCAUUGCUCAAUUUCAUCCAUGCUUUUUCAAGUGAAUAAAGAACCUGUAUUAUUUUUCAAAUUUAUUUGACCAUAAAUCUGUUUUGGAAUUCUUGUUCUGCAAUUUAACAAUUGUGAAAACACUAGGCAAGACACUCUGAGGAUCUUAGUUAGCUUAUUUAUAGAGUAGAAAUAAUGAUUCCUAUUUCACAGUCUUGCUGUGAAAAUUAAAUAAGGAUAAGGUUAAAAACAUGCCAUAAUGCUGGGCAAAUAAGCAGUUCUGAGUAGAUGUUGGUUGGUUUUUUUAAAGUUUUUUUUAAAUUGAUUUCUGGAUAAAAUAUUUAAAAGGAUAUUUAGGAAUGAGUCUGACUUAUUUAGUAACUGGUAUGAUUUGGGCAUUUACCAAUGAAAAAGGACAUUGGUUCAGGAACAACCCCUUGGUUAUUGGUCAUAAUGAUGUCAGGAGGGUCCUAAGUGAUGGGCAUUUGGUGAGAGAAUUAGAACUAUGGCUUUUUAUCAACUUUAGUAAAACCAUUUCCAUAUUUUAAUUCACAUUAUAUCUAUCCCAGUAUGUAUCUGUCCACUAUCAGCUUUGCAUAUAGGCAAAUAAGAGUAUGUUCAGAGAAGAAUAUUUAACAGGGUGAAGACACUCACUAUAAAGGUAUAUGAGGAUCUGUUAAAGGGAGCAGAGAUGUUUAUUCCAGAAAGGAGAAGACUUGGGGGAAGGGGGUGGGCAUGAAAGCUGUCUUCAAAUAUCUGUCUUCAAAUAUCUGAUUGUCAGGUGGAAGACAGGCUAGACUCAUUCUGUGUGUCUCCAAAGGGUUCAAUCAAGAACAAUCAACGUGUGAAAGCUUUAGAGCAUGAAAGUUCAACUCUACACAAGUAAAAGUUUUCAGAACUCACAGUAGUUCAAAGAAUAGCUGCCCCCAUCAAGUGCUGAAUUCCCCAUUACUUUAAGAUGUUCAAAAAGGCAAUAGUCAAAAUGCCUGGAAUGGAUGUUGUAGAGAAGAUACAAUUAUCAGAUAGUUUUAUAGACUCAACUCAAAGAUCCCUUAGUCCCUGAGCAUCUUUGUUUCUAUGACCAAAAGGUGGAGGUUCUUAGUGGUAAUUCUCUCAUUUCUGUAAACUAUAUGCAUUAUGUUGAGUUUAUUUGCAUCUUUAGCCAUAAAAAAGAGAGCUAAGAACUACAUAAAUUAACUAGCAAGACAAGCUGCUGGUAAAUUAGAACAUGAGUUGAGAGCUUCUUCAUUUGUCAGGGCUAUUAAUCCAAAGAGAGACAAAUAAAAACAGUUCACUAUCACAGAGGAGUACGCAACUCAAACCCGAGGUCAGUUUAUUUUUUAAGGAGAGUUUUAAAAUGCCGACAUUUGCCUUAAUUCUACACAUAAACACAUUUUACUUACAUAUUAAUACUAGUUACUUUAGUAAAGAAGGAACCAAAGAAGCAUAAGAAAGACUCAGAGACAUACAGAGAAAGAAGGAUGAGAGAC
Molecule: long non-coding RNA, 1980 nt
Filed under: Macaca fascicularis (crab-eating macaque)
Lineage: Eukaryota; Metazoa; Chordata; Mammalia; Primates; Cercopithecidae
Description: lncRNA (ENSMFAG00000055010.1)
Source: RNAcentral